UGAACGCUGGCGGCGUGCCUAAUACAUGCAAGUCAAGCGAACGGACGAGAAGCUUGCUUCUCUGAUGUUAGCGGCGGACGGGUGAGUAACACGUGGAUAACCUACCUAUAAGACUGGGAUAACUUCGGGAAACCGGAGCUAAUACCGGAUGAUAUUUUGAACCGCAUGGUUCAAAAGUGAAAGACGGUCUUGCUGUCACUUAUAGAUGGAUCCGCGCUGCAUUAGCUAGUUGGUAAGGUAACGGCUUACCAAGGCAACGAUGCAUAGCCGACCUGAGAGGGUGAUCGGCCACACUGGAACUGAGACACGGUCCAGACUCCUACGGGAGGCAGCAGUAGGGAAUCUUCCGCAAUGGGCGAAAGCCUGACGGAGCAACGCCGCGUGAGUGAUGAAGGUCUUCGGAUCGUAAAACUCUGUUAUUAGGGAAGAACAUAUGUGUAAGUAACUGUGCACAUCUUGACGGUACCUAAUCAGAAAGCCACGGCUAACUACGUG
Molecule: ribosomal RNA, 495 nt
Filed under: uncultured bacterium
Lineage: Bacteria
Description: partial 16S ribosomal RNA
Rfam family: Bacterial small subunit ribosomal RNA
Source: RNAcentral